Molecule: non-coding RNA, 1251 nt
Organism: Lolium perenne
Lineage: Eukaryota; Viridiplantae; Streptophyta; Magnoliopsida; Poales; Poaceae
Source: RefSeq, a predicted model, not a curated record
CAUCUCCCGCUCUCCGCUGUCGUUGGCUCCUCCCCGUCGCCGCCGCUCGCGCCACCUCCCCUUCCUACUUCUUCCUCUGUCUGUUGCCGCCCUUCGCGCCGCCGGCCGGAAGGAGACCGAGUUCAUCGCGUCGCCAUGGCUGGAGGAAGUGCAGGUCUUCGCUGCCCUGAUUCGUCCGCGCUCGCAGGUGAGAAAACCCUAGUGCGCCGCCUCACACUCCCAUGUUCCACCCUCUUCUCCCGUCGCCCUUCUCGCGCCCCCCUCCCCACGACGUGCUCCUCUUCUAAUCCCCUUGCCUCACCACUCCCUUGAUUCCUCAUUGCUCUCUCUACGUGCGGCAGUGUCCUUGGGUCAAGAUCCCAUCGCCGCCAUAGCCCGGAACUCCGGCUGUCACUCGUGCCGUCUUUCACAGGGAGGAGCACAUGAGUGGAAAAUCGCCGGGAGGAGCGGAAGGCUGCCGCAGUUUCGAGCGACCGCGAGUUGAGGGAGAGAAAGAGAGAGAGAAAGAGGAGGCUAUGUAGGGAGGAGGAGGAGCAACCCGAGGAGGAGGUGCGGCAACAGUAGCAAGUGGUGGUCUGUACCUCCAUCCCUAGCCCCUCUACAUCGGCCAACCGCCGGCUGGCCGACUCAGCCUUCUUCGGCCCCAUCUCUACUCCUCUACGUCCUUGCGAUUCAAGAUAAGGUGUUCGAGGAAAAUCAAACGAAGCUGCAGGUAGAGGUUAAUUCAUUUUUAUGUUAUGGUGUCUACUCAAUAGUUCAUUUCUUCUAAAAUAUACUUGCCAUCAAUGAUGAAUUACCUAUUUGAUAUUACUCUCUCUUAGUUAUGUGAAUUGUAUUUUUAUAUAUAUACCUCUUUAGGUUAUGUGACUUUCAUGUAUGUAAACUCAUUUCACUCAGAGUUGGAACUGGAGCUACGAGUUUGGAUAAAGUAGGUGGAGAAACCUUUAGGUUUAUUUGAUUGGCCUUACCUAUUUGGUUUUGCUUCCAAUUCAAUGGGGUGCACGACGGGAUGUGCAAGGUACUGGCCAUCUCAGAGUUGAGCUAUGUGUUUCUAAGUGCACUUUGUUUCUCCCUUUGCAACGACGUGACUUUAGCGGCUCUGAGUUCUCUGAGAUGAUUGACUUGAAACAGGGUUCCAUAUUCAUUGAUUCUCGAAGAGUUCCUUUAUUCAUACCACGGUUGAUUUGUACAUAUCGGGUUGACCCUGAUUUUGUUGAAUUUCAUGGGAAAUGUUGAGAAGAUCAGCCCUAG